AGUGAACGCUGGCGGUAGGCCUAACACAUGCAAGUCGAACGGCAGCACAGUAAGAGCUUGCUCUUACGGGUGGCGAGUGGCGGACGGGUGAGGAAUACAUCGGAAUCUACUUUUUCGUGGGGGAUAACGUAGGGAAACUUACGCUAAUACCGCAUACGACCUACGGGUGAAAGCAGGGGAUCUUCGGACCUUGCGCGAUUGAAUGAGCCGAUGUCGGAUUAGCUAGUUGGCGGGGUAAAGGCCCACCAAGGCGACGAUCCGUAGCUGGUCUGAGAGGAUGAUCAGCCACACGGGAACGGGGACACGGUCCAGACUCCUACGGGAGGCAGCAGUGGGGAAUAUUGGACAAUGGGCGCAAGCCUGAUCCAGCCAUACCGCGUGGGUGAAGAAGGCCUUCGGGUUGUAAAGCCCUUUUGUUGGGAAAGAAAAGCAGCAGGUUAAUACCCCGCUGUUCUGACGGUACCCAAAGAAUAAGCACCGGCUAACUUCGUG
This 492-nucleotide ribosomal RNA is filed under the name uncultured bacterium. Its description in RNAcentral is "partial 16S ribosomal RNA". It matches the Rfam family "Bacterial small subunit ribosomal RNA", at positions 29 to 507 of the family's 1533-position model. The record is from RNAcentral.